Molecule: ribosomal RNA, 253 nt
Filed under: uncultured bacterium
Lineage: Bacteria
Description: partial 16S ribosomal RNA
Rfam family: Bacterial small subunit ribosomal RNA
Source: RNAcentral
UACAGAGGUCUCAAGCGUUGUUCGGAUUCAUUGGGCGUAAAGAGCGCGCAGGCGGUCGUGCAAGUCGCGUGUGAAAGCCCCCGGCUCAACUGGGGAGGGUCACGCGAUACUGCUCGACUUGAAGGCAGGAGAGGGAAGUGGAAUUCCCGGUGUAGUGGUGAAAUGCGUAGAUAUCGGGAGGAACACCAGUGGCGAAGGCGACUUCCUGGCCUGUUCUUGACGCUGAGGCGCGAAAGCUAGGGUAGCAAACGGG